AUGAUGCAGGCAAAUAAUUUUGAUGCAAUAUAAAAGGCAAGCUGAACUGUAGAUCUACCCAGAUUAGAUUCAAUAAGAAUUAAAGGUCAAAACCAUGGUGGUUACACAAAGCAUCUGUAUACAAGAUUUUUUAGGCUUGUUAAAUGGAAAAAUUAUAUGAAAAUAAUAGUCUCCAGUAAUAUCUACAUUUUAACUCAUAUGAGAAAUCUUAUAACAGUUUCAAUAUUCAGACAGAUCAUGAGAUGGAAACCAAUGUAAUUGAGACGAAAAGGGAGUACAACUCGAAAUAUCAAGGAAAAACAAGAAAUGCCAUUGUGAAUCUGCAGAUGAUGUCCUAUACAACCAUCCUUCCAUGACACAUGCAAUGGGAAGUUUAUUUCAGGAAACAAAGCCUGUCUGAAACUCCAAAAUGACAUUUCCAGAAAGUUGAAGAAAGGAUAAAAAUGUAUCUACCAUCUUACAACCCAGAUUUCAUUCCACUGAAAAGAAAAGGGACAGGAAAUUUUGCAUGUCCAUGUCUUGGAAGGUGAAUAGGAGGAAAUUCAAAAGAUGCUUACCUUAUCAGAUGGUUGCAGUGGAUACUGGGGAUAAAGUAGCAGAAAAUUAUGGAAAACAGGGAAGUGGCAGCCAGGACUAUGGAGGGGAGGCGACAAUGACAGUGAGAUGGCAUUAGGUUGGACACCAGAAGGGAAGAGGGCAUUUAAGAGACCGAAAACAACCUGGAGAGGAACAGUAGAAGCAGAAAGAAAGAUUGCAGAAUGGAGAAACUUGAAUGAGAUCAAGAUGGUAGCAAUAGAACAGAGUGGGUUGGAGAGAGUCUCGGUCCUAUGUGUUUUGGCAUUGAGAGAACUAAGUAAUGUCUAGAUUGUUGGAGAUAGGAUGACCAGGAAUAUGAAUGGAUGUGCUGGAAACUGUACUAAGACCCUUAUGUAUUUGGAUAGAUUUACAUACCAUCAUGAUUUUGCUAUGAAAAACUUGAAAAAAAUCCUCAACUCACAUUGUAGCUGACAUUAUACAUUUGUACUUAUUAAUAUUUCAAAUGAACAUAUAUUUAGAUAUACAAUAUCUAAACUUUGGAGUCCAUGUACAUCUCCACAUUGGAUAAUAGGUUAUGAUAUAUGUGUGUGAAAUCUUUUCCUAUAGUAUGCACAUGUUAACACAUUAGUUUAAAUGAUGAUGUAUAUCUUAUGACUAUGGAAGAGAAUGUGUUCAGAACAGAAUAUGUGUCUAGAAGAGUUGUUGCCCUUGAAUGUAAUUCAUUAUUUACAUGGGGUUGAAAAAUAAUCCAGCACACAGUAGUACUAAAUGCAUUAUGUUAAAAUACAUUUAUGAAUGGUAUAAGUGAUACUGUCAAUUACUGAUUAAUACACUUUGUGAAAUCAUAUUAUUGUUAUGUUUAAUAAAUUUCAAGACUGCA
Molecule: long non-coding RNA, 1417 nt
Organism: Ostrea edulis (European flat oyster)
Lineage: Eukaryota; Metazoa; Mollusca; Bivalvia; Ostreida; Ostreidae
Exons: 3
Source: RefSeq, a predicted model, not a curated record